UAAACACAGGCUCUUAAUUUAUUUUGCCUUUAAUUAUACAGCUAUCAUUGACAUUUUAUAGAGUUAAGAUGUGUAUAUUUCCAGCCCAUGAAAUAGAUGACAAAUUAAAAUCAGUUUCUGUCAUCAAAUGCUCUUAAAAUUUUAGAACCACCCUGCUGUCAGGAGUUGUCAGUUGAUAAAGUACAGGCUUUUGAAUUGAGCAGCUAAGACUUUGUAUCGAUGGGUCUUUAACAUAUUGCUUAAAAUGUCAGUGCCGAAAUAUGGAAGGCGAAUUUGGAAGAUACAACAUCAGGUCUCACAGCUAUUAUAGCAAGAGUGAACACUGCAUUGAAAUGACCUCCCACUGCAGAUGACAAAAUGUUUUGUUUCAUUAAUAAAAGCAGGUAAGAUUGA
Molecule: long non-coding RNA, 393 nt
Organism: Myotis brandtii (Brandt's bat)
Lineage: Eukaryota; Metazoa; Chordata; Mammalia; Chiroptera; Vespertilionidae
Exons: 3
Source: RefSeq, a predicted model, not a curated record